Molecule: long non-coding RNA, 710 nt
Filed under: Mus pahari (shrew mouse)
Lineage: Eukaryota; Metazoa; Chordata; Mammalia; Rodentia; Muridae
Description: lncRNA (MGP_PahariEiJ_G0003599.1)
Source: RNAcentral
AAAAGGAAAGGCAGAGGCAGGGGAAGAGCUGGCUCCCCCUCACUUCAGUGCCUGGUUGGAGGUAAACAGCCUCCGUGGGCCAGGAGGGAAGGGGCAGCCUUCAAAGGCAGCAAAGUAUAUAUUAGUGGACUACAUAUAUGCAUGGGGUCCUUGGAGUCCAGAAGAGGGGGCAUUGGACUUCCUGGAACUCUCCUGGAGUUACAGAUGGUCCUGAGUCACCAUGUGAGUGCUGGGAACUGAAACUGAGUCCUUUCUGAAAGAGCAGAGAGUCCCUUUAACCACUGAGCCAUCUCUCCAGCCACGCUGUGGUGAGGACUUUUAAAUAACCAGAAUUCUGCUGGUUUGCUUUGACAGCCAGAAUCCUGUGAGCACAGAUGAGAAGCAAACAGAUCCCAAGUUAACUGAAGGGGCAGAAAGCAUCAACAGGGACACUUGCUAGUUGGCUGACUCUGAAGCAGUGAGGAAACUGUCAAAGGUAUUAGGUGUGCAUACAUGCAUGUAUGUGUGAAAGGGGGAUAAACUUACUCCUUCCUUGAGUGGGGCCUUCCUGGGUUUCACCUUUAUAUGUUUAAUUCGAUGUGUGGAUUGUAUUAGGUGUGUAGUUACAGUUUUAUGUUGUAAGAAGUGGUACUCUUUCCCCUUGGAUGAAAACUCUACCCAGAAUUCCAAAGUACAAUGGAGGCAGAAGAGAAACUCACCUUGGAUGCUCU